UACAGAGGUCUCAAGCGUUGUUCGGAUUCAUUGGGCGUAAAGGGUGCGUAGGCGGCGCGGUAAGUCGGGUGUGAAAUCUUGGAGCUUAACUCCGAAACUGCAUUCGAUACUGCCGUGCUUGAGGACUGGAGAGGAGACUGGAAUUUACGGUGUAGCGGUGAAAUGCGUAGAUAUCGUAAGGAAGACCAGUGGCGAAGGCGGGUCUCUGGACAAAACCUGACACUGAGGCACGAAAGCUAGGGGAGCAAACAGG
RNAcentral lists this ribosomal RNA (253 nucleotides) under uncultured bacterium. Its description in RNAcentral is "partial 16S ribosomal RNA". It matches the Rfam family "Bacterial small subunit ribosomal RNA", at positions 524 to 776 of the family's 1533-position model. The record is from RNAcentral.